CGGCCCUAAGUUAGCCCCAGCUCUUGCUGCUCACCGGACACUUUACAAGGGUGCAAAGAAUCAUGGCGCUGCGCAUGUAGGGGGAUCUGUUUUAUGUUGGGACUUGCAUCUGGCAGUGACCUUCGCCCUCAGGGAGCUCCGCUGUUCUUCCCGCUUUUCUCAGCGGCUGGAGCUCUCUCAGCUACUGCGACUGGCUUCUAGAAUCCCUCCCCAUCAUUGUGGACUAAUGGCAUGAGCCAUCUAGUGAAGGUUGGUGAAGCCAGUGUUUCAUAACCGCCUUCAUCCUGACCCUUUGUGGGUGUGCCACGGGGCAGCUGCAAAACCAGGUGCUGUGCCCAUCUCUUCAUGAGCGUGUCUAUUUCAUCUUAACAGCGAUCCAACGAGGCAGGCUCUAUUCCGAGUCCCGUUUUUUGCAGGAGGAAAUUAAAGCUGAAAAGAGCAAACAAGAAUCCAAGAGCGUGAGAAUGAUGCUAUGACCAUGGUUCCCAAACUGUACACCAGGAUGCCACAGAGCACCACAGUAAACUCAGGAGGGUACCUCGGGAUAUUUCAAAUGCUUUGAGGGAAACUUGACAUCCUCUGGACAUCAUGCUAAUGACCAGCUCAAGUGCUGUGGAUUGAGCUGACACCAUGGUGGCUUUGUCAAGGUGCUGUGUCCACAGAGCUCAACAUGCAGUAUUGGCCUGGCACAGCUGCACUAGUACUUAUCCCAGACAUCACGCUUGCUCAUCCAUACAACUAGUGAACAAAGAAACUGUGCCUGCUCUGUACAUUUGUGGAAGCCAUACCAACAGGUAAGGAAGGAGGAGGAGGAGAAGAAAGGAUUUCCUCCCUUGAAGAUAUGACCUGGAAAUUACAUGCAUCAUGUCUGCUCAUAUCCCAUUGGCAAGAACUCUUCUGAUGGCCACACAAGAGAUGCUGGUUUAGGCAGCAUGGAACAGUAUUACCAAGAUGGGAUUUGGAGUCGCAGAGUUCUGGGUUCAAAUUCCAGCAGCACUGCUUCCUGGCUGUGUGACCCUGGGGCAGACCAUCUGGUCAUCUACUUUCUGCCACCCUCUUCCAGCUAUGAUGCCUCAACACUUUGACCGGUGGUCACGUCCUCUCUGAAGACUUCUCCAGGGCGCCAUCAUUUGCCGAAGGAAGCAAGCUUCCACAAUGUGAGCAGACCUAUGCCCCCAAGGAGUGGUGAGGAACUGAGGCCCUCUGUCCAACAGCCUGUGAGGAAAUGAAACCUGCCAACACCAGCCACAGGGGUGAGCUCGGAAGUGGAUCCGUCAGCCCCAGUUGAGCCUUGAGAUGUCAGCAGACCAGGCUGACACCUCAGCUCUAACCUCAAGAAAGACCUUGAGCCAGAAGCACCCAGCUAAGCUGCUCCCAGAAACCCUGAGAAAAUAAA
Long non-coding RNA from Eubalaena glacialis (North Atlantic right whale), 1396 nucleotides. RefSeq lists it as uncharacterized. NCBI's taxonomy places the organism in Eukaryota, Metazoa, Chordata, Mammalia, Artiodactyla, Balaenidae. The transcript has 9 exons. The record is from RefSeq and is a predicted model, not a curated record.